UACGUAGGGUGCAAGCGUUAAUCGGAAUUACUGGGCGUAAAGCGUGCGCAGGCGGCUUUGCAAGACAGAUGUGAAAUCCCCGGGCUUAACCUGGGAACUGCAUUUGUGACUGCAUGGCUGGAGUGCGGCAGAGGGGGAUGGAAUUCCGCGUGUAGCAGUGAAAUGCGUAGAUAUGCGGAGGAACACCGAUGGCGAAGGCAGUCCCCUGGGCCUGCACUGACGCUCAGGCACGAAAGCGUGGGGAGCAAACAGG
RNAcentral lists this ribosomal RNA (253 nucleotides) under uncultured bacterium. Its description in RNAcentral is "partial 16S ribosomal RNA". It matches the Rfam family "Bacterial small subunit ribosomal RNA", at positions 524 to 776 of the family's 1533-position model. The record is from RNAcentral.